GAUGAACGCUGGCGGCGUGCCUAAUACAUGCAAGUCGAGCGAAUGGACGAGAAGCUUGCUUCUCUGAUGUUAGCGGCGGACGGGUGAGUAACACGUGGAUAACCUACCUAUAAGACUGGGAUAACUUCGGGAAACCGGAGCUAAUACCGGAUAAUAUUUUGAACCGCAUGGUUCAAAAGUGAAAGACGGUCUUGCUGUCACUUAUAGCUGGAUCCGCGCUGCAUUAGCUAGUUGGUAAGGUAACGGCUUACCAAGGCAACGAUGCAUAGCCGACCUGAGAGGGUGAUCGGCCACACGGGAACUGAGACACGGUCCAGACUCCUACGGGAGGCAGCAGUAGGGAAUCUUCCGCAAUGGGCGAAAGCCUGACGGAGCAACGCCGCGUGAGUGAUGAAGGUCUUCGGAUCGUAAAACUCUGUUAUUAGGGAAGAACAUAUGUGUAAGUAACUGUGCACAUCUUGACGGUACCUAAUCAGAAAGCCACGGCUAACUACGUG
This 497-nucleotide ribosomal RNA is filed under the name uncultured bacterium. RNAcentral describes it as "partial 16S ribosomal RNA". It matches the Rfam family "Bacterial small subunit ribosomal RNA", at positions 28 to 507 of the family's 1533-position model. The record is from RNAcentral.